UUUAAAAUUAUUAAUUUUAUUAAAAACAUUUAUAAUUGCAACUCGCAUAAUGCAUAAUUUAUAACUUAAUAAAAUAUAUUAUAUUAAAAACUUUACGGAUUUUUUUAAAAUCAACUGAGAAAAGCUAAGUUAUGUCAACAGUAAAUUAAACUAGUUAAGUUCAUAAGUUGAUUAGAACAUUAAAUAACUAGUUAAGUUAAAAAGUUUAAAAAAAAAUUAACUUUUUAACUAGUUAUUGCCCACCUUUGGUUAUAUAGUUUGCCAACCCCCCUUCCAGCAAAAUGUACGAGGUAAUAAAUGGGGUGUGCUUAUGCCGGCUUGCAAAGAGGAGAUUCAGAAUGGAAUGUCAAGGACGGAGAAGAUUUGAAUUAAAUAUGAUACAUUUACAUUGGUUAAUUCUUGAUAAGACAUAGAAUUUAUUGUACUCUUAAAAGUCAUGUAGAACAUAGUUAUGUAUUUUUAAUUCUUUUUUUUUAACUUUUAUAUUUUUCAAACUAUUCUGAACUUAUAAUAAAUUGUAAAUAAAUAAUUGUAAGGGAAUAUUUAUAAAUGACUAUAUUUCAGUAAACUAAAUUUAAAAAACUCAUUUCUCCAUUAAAUGUUUUCUCAUUAUUUCAUUAUUCUAAAAAUAAUAUUAAGUACUUAAUAAUUUAAUUAAAAUUGUGUUUAAAGUUAUUAUCGACAAAAUCAAAUAUUAGUUUAUUUCUAUUCUUUUUCUUUAUCACAACACAUAAUAUUAAAUAAUAAAUAGUAACCCAAGUUAUUAACAUCGUAAGUUAAUAAUAUCUAAUUGUUCAAAUACAGCCAGUACCUAUUAUGGGCUAAUAUAGAUUAGACGAUGUAUUUAUACAAUAUCUCAUAAAAGUACCGGUAAUAUUAUGAUAUUAUGUUGUUACAUCAUACUACAUCAAAAUGUUUACAAGAAUUCAAUGUAUCUUAUAGAAGCAAAAAUACAUUGAAAAUGUCGCAUUACGAGCUUUUGAUACGUGUUCAUAGAAUUAUCUAAGUAUAUUUAGCACCUUACCUUUUUAGUGUAAUUGUUGUAUGCACAAUGCACAUUAAGGUAGAUUUCUUAUUAUUUUUUUUAAUUAAAAAAAGUAGUCUAAUAAAUAAAAUCGACCUUUACCUGUUUCAGCAACAGCUCACUUAAAGUAAAUAUUUUGCAAUAUUUAUAAUACGUCAUCUAAAUCAAGAAUAGGUACAUCGCACUUUCAAUAACUGGAAGUCUGCUCGUCCUUUCAUUUGUUUCUAGGGAGGACAUUGAGACAGUCAAUGAAUCAUCAACUAAUAUUCUUUCAAUAUUUCUAGACCUGGUGGAAUUUGAUGAUCAAUCUAAAAGUAAAUUGCUUCUUCUCAAAAGAAACAUUGAAGGCUGUUGAAAAUUAAAAAUAGAAGCUUGUAAUAUUAACAUGUAUCUAUCAAGAUGUGAUGAAUAGAAUUCCAGAUGGCAACCAAAUUGGCUGUAAUACACUCUCUCUGAAAAGUGGUAUUUUCUUUUACCUCAAAUUAUGUUAAAUACAAUUUAAUACAAGACAUAGUUUAUUAGGAACAUAUUUGUCACAAGAUAAUUAUCCUGAUCCUAUAACAAUUCUAUACCGAGGACAACCGUUUUUAUUUGCUACCUUUGUUCGACUUAAAUGCCAAUUAGCCACAGCUUUGCCACAUUUAGCUGUGGGUUUAAAAUUUGUUUGACAAAGCUGAGGUAUUUAGACUGUUCCAAGUUAGCUUAUAAAAACGACAGACCUUGUCACAUCAGAGUUGCCACUAUUUCAAAACAAUAAGGAUAUAUGUAAUAUAACCUAAAUAAUAGAUGGAAUUGAUAUAAAAUUAUAACCUGAUUCACCCAACUUAUGAAUAAAUAUGUUGUUUGCA
Acyrthosiphon pisum (pea aphid) is the source of this 1872-nucleotide long non-coding RNA. RefSeq lists it as uncharacterized. Lineage: Eukaryota; Metazoa; Arthropoda; Insecta; Hemiptera; Aphididae. The record is from RefSeq and is a predicted model, not a curated record. The transcript has 3 exons.